RNAcentral lists this ribosomal RNA (253 nucleotides) under uncultured bacterium. Its description in RNAcentral is "partial 16S ribosomal RNA". It matches the Rfam family "Bacterial small subunit ribosomal RNA", at positions 524 to 776 of the family's 1533-position model. The record is from RNAcentral.
UACGAAGGGGGCUAGCGUUGUUCGGAAUUACUGGGCGUAAAGCGCACGUAGGCGAAUAUUUAAGUCAGGGGUGAAAUCCUAGAGCUCAACUCUGGAACUGCCUCUGAUACUGGGUAUCUUGAGUAUGGAAGAGGUGAGUGGAAUUGCGAGUGUAGAGGUGAAAUUCGUAGAUAUUCGCAGGAACACCAGUGGCGAAGGCGGCUCACUGGUCCAUAACUGACGCUGAGGUGCGAAAGCGUGGGGAGCAAACAGG